RNAcentral lists this ribosomal RNA (494 nucleotides) under uncultured bacterium. RNAcentral describes it as "bacterial SSU rRNA". It matches the Rfam family "Bacterial small subunit ribosomal RNA", at positions 903 to 1397 of the family's 1533-position model. The record is from RNAcentral.
AAAGGAAUUGACGGGGACCCGCACAAGCGGUGGAGCAUGUGGUUUAAUUCGAAGCAACGCGAAGAACCUUACCAAAUCUUGACAUCCCUUCGACCGGUACUUAAUGGUACCCUCUCUUCGGAGCGAAGGUGACAGGUGGUGCAUGGUUGUCGUCAGCUCGUGUCGUGAGAUGUUGGGUUAAGUCCCGCAACGAGCGCAACCCUUAUCUUUAGUAGCCAGCAGUUCGGCUGGGCACUCUAGAGAGACUGCCGGGGAUAACCCGGAGGAAGGUGGGGAUGACGUCAAAUCAUCAUGCCCCUUAUGAUUUGGGCUACACACGUGCUACAAUGGCGUAAACAAAGAGAAGCAGCCCUGUGAAGGUGAGCAAAUCUCAAAAAUAACGUCUCAGUUCGGAUUGUAGUCUGCAACUCGACUACAUGAAGCUGGAAUCGCUAGUAAUCGCGAAUCAGAAUGUCGCGGUGAAUACGUUCCCGGGUCUUGUACACACCGCCCGU